GACGAACGCUGGCGGCGUGCCUAAUACAUGCAAGUGGAACGCACUUAUAUCACCGGAGCUUGCUCCACCGAGAUAAGUGAGUCGCGAACGGGUGAGUAACGCGUAGGUAACCUGCCUCAUAGCGGGGGAUAACUAUUGGAAACGAUAGCUAAUACCGCAUAACAGUAUUUACCGCAUGGUAGAUGCUUGAAAGGAGCAAUUGCUUCACUAUGAGAUGGACCUGCGUUGUAUUAGCUAGUUGGU
Molecule: ribosomal RNA, 243 nt
Filed under: uncultured bacterium
Lineage: Bacteria
Description: partial 16S ribosomal RNA
Rfam family: Bacterial small subunit ribosomal RNA
Source: RNAcentral